CCUACGGGAGGCAGCAGUAAGGAAUAUUGGGCAAUGGGCGAGAGCCUGACCCAGCCAUGCCGCGUGCAGGAAGACGGCCCUAUGGGUUGUAAACUGCUUUUAUACGGGAAUAAAGUUGGGUAUGUAUACUCAUUGCAAGUACCUGUAGAANAAGCUNNAUUUCNNC
This 166-nucleotide ribosomal RNA is filed under the name bacterium. RNAcentral's name for it is "partial 16S ribosomal RNA". It matches the Rfam family "Bacterial small subunit ribosomal RNA", at positions 338 to 502 of the family's 1533-position model. The record is from RNAcentral.